GAUGAACGCUGGCGGCGUGCCUAAUACAUGCAAGUCGAGCGAACAGACGAGGAGCUUGCUCCUCUGACGUUAGCGGCGGACGGGUGAGUAACACGUGGAUAACCUACCUAUAAGACUGGGAUAACUUCGGGAAACCGGAGCUAAUACCGGAUAAUAUAUUGAACCGCAUGGUUCAAUAGUGAAAGACGGUUUUGCUGUCACUUAUAGAUGGAUCCGCGCCGCAUUAGCUAGUUGGUAGGGUAACGGCUUACCAAGGCGACGAUGCGUAGCCGACCGGAGAGGGGGAUCGGCCACACUGGAGCUGAGACACGGUCCAGACUCCUACGGGAGGCAGCAGUAGGGAAUCUUCCGCAAUGGGCGAAAGCCUGACGGAGCAACGCCGCGUGAGUGAUGAAGGUCUUCGGAUCGUAAAACUCGGUUAUUAGGGAAGAACAAAUGUGUAAGUAACUAUGCACGUCUUGACGGUACCUAAUCAGAAAGCCACGGCUAACUACGUG
This 497-nucleotide ribosomal RNA is filed under the name uncultured bacterium. RNAcentral's name for it is "partial 16S ribosomal RNA". It matches the Rfam family "Bacterial small subunit ribosomal RNA", at positions 28 to 507 of the family's 1533-position model. The record is from RNAcentral.